Molecule: ribosomal RNA, 237 nt
Filed under: uncultured bacterium
Lineage: Bacteria
Description: partial 16S ribosomal RNA
Rfam family: Bacterial small subunit ribosomal RNA
Source: RNAcentral
GGCAAACGGGUGAGUAACACGUAAGUAACCUGCCCCUAAGUAAGGAAUAACCCCGAGAAAUCGGAGCUAAUACUGUAUGUGCUGGUGAAGGUAAUGCUUUAUCAGUAAAGCCUUAGGGCGCUUGGGGAGGGGCUUGCAUCCGAUUAGCUAGUUGGUGGGGUAAAGGUUCACCAAGGCUAUGAUCGGUAGCUGGUUUGAGAGGAUGAUCAGCCACACUGGGACUGAGACACGGCCCAG